This 273-nucleotide ribosomal RNA is filed under the name uncultured bacterium. Its description in RNAcentral is "partial 16S ribosomal RNA". It matches the Rfam family "Bacterial small subunit ribosomal RNA", at positions 524 to 796 of the family's 1533-position model. The record is from RNAcentral.
UACAGAGGGUGCGAGCGUUGUCCGGAAUCACUGGGCGUAAAGGGCGCGUAGGUGGCUUGGUAAGCGUGUGGUGAAAGUCCGGGGCUCAACCCCGGAUCUGCCGUGCGAACUGCUGAGCUCGAGCACUGUAGAGGCAGGUGGAAUUUCGGGUGUAGCGGUGGAAUGCGUAGAUAUCCGAAAGAACACCGGUGGCGAAGGCGGCCUGCUGGGCAGUUGCUGACACUGAGGCGCGACAGCGUGGGGAGCAAACAGGAUUAGAAACCCCCGUAGUCC